GACGAACGCUGGCGGCGUGCCUAAUACAUGCAAGUCGAACGCAGAAGCAGGAGCUUGCUUCUCUGGACGAGUUGCGAACGGGUGAGUAACACGUAGGUAACCUGCCUGGAAGCGGGGGAUAACUAUUGGAAACGAUAGCUAAUACCGCAUAAGAGUUGAUGUUGCAUGACAUUUGCUUAAAAGGUUCGGUUGUAUCAUUACUAGUUGGUGCUGCGUUGUAUGAGCUAGUUGGUGAGGUAACGGCACACUAAGGCAACGACACAUCGUCGACAUGAGAGGGGGGUCAGCCGCACUGGGACUGAGACACGGCCCAGACUCCCUCGGGGAGGAGCAGGAGGGAAACGUCAGGAAGGGGCGGAAAGCUGUGCGAGAAACGCCGCGGGAGGGAAGAAGGGUGUCGGGUCGGAAAGCUCUGUUUUAAGGGGAGAAAGAGUGUGAGAGUGGAAAGUUCACACUGUGACGGUAACUUAUCAGAAAGCGACGGCUAACUACGUG
RNAcentral lists this ribosomal RNA (495 nucleotides) under uncultured bacterium. Its description in RNAcentral is "partial 16S ribosomal RNA". It matches the Rfam family "Bacterial small subunit ribosomal RNA", at positions 28 to 507 of the family's 1533-position model. The record is from RNAcentral.